RNAcentral lists this ribosomal RNA (1239 nucleotides) under uncultured bacterium. RNAcentral describes it as "bacterial SSU rRNA". It matches the Rfam family "Bacterial small subunit ribosomal RNA", at positions 158 to 1505 of the family's 1533-position model. The record is from RNAcentral.
UGAGGCUAAUAGUAUAACUCUGGGACAAAGAAGGAUCUUCGUCUUCCCUAUCGAUGACCCGGUGGAUUGCUAGUGGUGGGUAAGGCUCCCUAGCCACGAUCCUACCUGCUUGAGGAGGUCGCCCCCUGGAUUGAACCGGCCCGACUCUUCGGAGGCAGCAUGGGGAUUUUGUCAAUGAGGAAGCUUGCUGAGCAUGCCGCCUGAUGAAGAAGUCUUCGGUCGUAAGUAUUUCAUUGGGAGAAGGGAUAGUUUAAAUCAUCUCCCUGACGUACCUACCAAAAGCACGGCUAAUUCGUGCAGCAGCCCGGUAUUCGUAGGUGCAGCGUUAUUGAUUUAUUGGCGUAAGCAACGCAGGCGUUUGUUAGUCAGAUGGAAAUCCCCGGCUCACCUGGGAGGUCAUUGAAACUGGCGACUUGAUUCAGUAGAGAGAGUGGAUUCCAUGUGAGCGGUGAAUGCGUGAUAUUUGAGGAACCCAGUGGGAAGGCGGCCUCUGGUCAAAACUGACGUUCGGUUCGAAAGCGUGGGAGCAACCAGAUUAGAUACCUGGUAGUCCACCCGUACCGAUGUGGAUCAGAGUUGAUGUCUUCCACCCGUCAUUCGUGGAGCAACGCGUUAAGCACCCGCCGGGGAGUACGGCCGCAAGGUUAAACUCAAAGGAAUUGACGGGGGCCCGCACAACCGGUGGAGCAUGUGGUUUAAUUCGAAGCAACGCGAAGAACCUUCCUAGUCUGCCAUCCUGUGACAUUCCAGAGAUAAUUGUGCCUUCGGGAAUAGAAGCCAGCUCUGCAUGGUUUGGUCAGCUCGUGUCGUAAAGUGUGGUUUAAGUCCCGCAACGAGCGCAACCCUUCCCUUGUCUUCAGAUCAUUCGGUUGGGCACUCAAAGGAGACUGCCGGUGCUAACCGGAGGAAGGUGGGAUGACGUCAAGUCAUCAUGGCCCUUACGCGUAGGGUUCCCCACGUGUUCCAAUGGCAGAUCCAAAGAGAAGCGACCUCGGGAGAGCAAGCGGUCUUCAUAAACUGCGUUGUAGUCCGGAUUGGAGUCUGCAACUGGACUCCAGGAAGUCGGAAUCGUUAGUAAUCGUGGAUCAGAAUGCUACGGUGAUUACGUUCCCGGCCUUGGUCCACACGGCCGGUCACACCAGGGAAUUGGGUUGCACAGGAAGUAGUUAGCUAACCGUUAGGAGGGCGCUUACCACGGUGGAUUCAUGGACUGGGGAAGUCGUAACAAGUACAUAGCCC